Molecule: ribosomal RNA, 497 nt
Filed under: uncultured bacterium
Lineage: Bacteria
Description: partial 16S ribosomal RNA
Rfam family: Bacterial small subunit ribosomal RNA
Source: RNAcentral
GAUGAACGCUGGCGGCGUGCCUAAUACAUGCCAGUCGAGCGAACAGAUGAGGAGCUUGCUCCUCUGACGUUAGCGGCGGACGGGUGAGUAACACGUGGAUAAUCUACCUAUAAGACUGGGAUAACUUCGGGAAACCGGAGCUAAUACCGGAUAAUAUAUUGAACCGCAUGGUUCAAUAGUGAAAGACGGUUUUGCUGUCACUUAUAGAUGGAUCCGCGCCGCAUUAGCUAGUUGGUAAGGUAACGGCUUACCAAGGCAACGAUGCGUAGCCGACCUGAGAGGGUGAUCGGCCACACUGGAACUGAGACACGGUCCAGACUCCUACGGGAGGCAGCAGUAGGGAAUCUUCCGCAAUGGGCGAAAGCUUGACGGAGCAACGCCGCGUGAGUGAUGAAGGUCUUCGGAUCGUAAAACUCUGUUAUUAGGGAAGAACAAAUGUGUAAGUAACUAUGCACGUCUUGACGGUACCUAAUCAGAAAGCCACGGCUAACUACGUG